Pistacia vera is the source of this 1774-nucleotide RNA transcript. RefSeq lists it as uncharacterized. NCBI's taxonomy places the organism in Eukaryota, Viridiplantae, Streptophyta, Magnoliopsida, Sapindales, Anacardiaceae. The record is from RefSeq and is a predicted model, not a curated record. The transcript is spliced from 6 exons.
AUAAUNGUCGGGAGUUAACGCUAAUAUCUCGUGGUGUUAUAUCCUCUCUUAAAAAGUUAGAGGAGUUGUAUAUUAAUAGAUUUACGGGAUGGGAAUCUGAAAGUGAAAAUUUGAGAAGCAAUGCCAAUCUUGUUGAGUUACAAGCCUUGUCUCAAUUGACUCAUUUAGAUAUUAAUAUUCCAAACCUUGACCUCUCACCAAAAUUGUUGGUAUUCCAAAAUAACCUAUCCAACUUUAAAUUAAGAAUUGGUUAUUGUGAAUAUUUUGAUGCUUAUAUGGAUGGGAGUAGAUCAAGAAAUAUGCAUGUCUCACAAACUAACAUUUCAAAAAUACAAGACUGGGUUAAACGUUUGCUCAAAAGAAUUGAGUGGCUAUUUUUAGAUAGAAUUACUAAUUUGGAGAGUAUUAGCCAUAUCCUAGUUGAAGAAGGGUUCAAUGAAUUGAAGUAUCUUAAUAUCACAUCUUGUGAAUCAUUGGUGUAUAUAUUUGAUUGUAAAGAUAUUAAGAUUGCAGAGGGAGAAGCCAAGUUACUAUCAUCAUUAGAGCAUCUACAAUUGAAAGCAUUGCCUAAGUUGUCACAUAUAUGGAAGGGAGACCAUCAAUCCAUAAGCCUUUGUAACUUGAAGAGAGUAGGAGUUUAUAUAUGCUACAAGUUAAUAAAACUAUUUUCACCAAGUCUACUAAAAAGCCUUAUUUGUUUGGAAGAAAUAUAUAUAACGGAAUGCAAUAAUUUAGAGGAGAUCUUUGAGAAGAAAGAAGCUUUGGAUGAGGAGUUAGACCACACCAUAACCUCCCCAAGUUUGGGAAACCUGACUACUAUAACAAUAGAUAGUUGUGAUAAAUUAAAAAACCUCUUCACCCCUUCCAUUGUCAAAUGCCUGGUGAAGCUCAAGUCUUUUGUACUAUGGAGCUGUUCAACAAUAGAAGAAAUAGUCACAAAUGAGAAAGGAGAAAAAAAAGCAUCAAUAGAGAGGAUAGUGUUUCCUAGUUUGUACAGUUUGGAACUUGAAUAUCUAAACAGCCUUACUUGUUUUAGCUCUGGAUCAUAUAUUAUUGAAUUCCCAGAAUUGGAGAUCCUAAAGAUAUGGAGAUGUGGAAAAAUGAAGACCUUUGGUUAUGGAAAGCAAGUGACACCCAAGCUUAAUAAAGUGAUUAUGGGAUCCUUUGUAAUGGAAGAACGUUGGAAUGGCAACUUGAAUGCCACAGUGCAAAAGCACUUCAAUGAACCGGUGAAUCAAGCAAGGAGAUCAGCUUAAAGUAGAAUGGAAUUGAAAUUACAGUCUAAACAAGAAUUACUCUCCACCUCACUUGCCGCCGCUCUAUCACCUCCUCCACGCGACACUACCACCACCAGAACCGUCAGAGUCGCCUUACUUCAAGCACUCGCCGGUGAGUUCUCGUUUCUUCCACUUCGGUUCAGUAGACGACGACUCGCUCACUGGCUCCGUGCCGAUCCCGGUGGAGAUUGUUAACUUCUGUGACGGAGUGAUUGGCAGUGGUGAAGAGUCGAUUCUUCCUGUUCAAACUCUGAUUUCGUUGCUGGAUGCUUAUCAUAAUCUCUCUGGCUUCCCUUGGUGGGUAAUUAUUACUGCUUUGACUUCGGCAUUCAGACUUGCGUUGCUUCCUAUUGUUGUUUUGCAGCUUCGUAAGCUGCGGAAGAUAGGAGAGUUAUAUCUCCUAAAUUCAGGAAGGAGUUUCAUUGAUCAAGAUUUCACGUUCGGAGGGAAAGAAAAGCAAUCGGGCCCUUAUUUCUGUGGUUGCUUGCCUCCUUGUC